CGCUGAACUUAAGCAUAUCAAUAAGCGGAGGAAAAGAAACUAACAAGGAUUCCCUUAGUAACUGCGAGUGAAGUGGGAAAAGCUCAAAUUUAAAAUCUGGCAGUCAUUUGGCUGUCCGAGUUGUAAUCUAGAGAAGUGUUGCCCGUGCUGGACCAUGUACAAGUCUCCUGGAAUGGAGCAUCACAGAGGGUGAGAAUCCUGUCUUUGACAUGGACUGCCAGUGCUUUUGUGGUAUGCUCUCAAAGAGUCGAGUUGUUUGGGAAUGCAGCUCAAAAUGGGUGGUAAAUGCCAUCUAAAGCUAAAUAUUGGCGAGAGACCGAUAGUGAACAAGUACCGUGAGGGAAAGAUGAAAAGAACUUUGGAAAGAGAGUUAAACAGUACGUGAAAUUGCUGAAAGGGAAACGCUUGAAGUCAGUCACGUUGACUUGGAAUCAGCUCUGCUUUUGCUGGGUGUACUUUCUUGUCAAUGGGUCAGCAUCAAUUUUGACCAUUGGAUAAAGUCAUUGGGAAUGUAGCAUCUUUAGAUGUGUUAUAGCCUGGUGAUGCAUACGGUGGUUGGGAUUGAGGAAUUCAGCACGCCACCAGGCCGGGUUUCGACCACGUUCGUGCUUAGGAUGCUGGCAUAAUGGCUUUAAUUGACC
This 641-nucleotide ribosomal RNA is filed under the name Pseudosperma bulbosissimum. RNAcentral describes it as "LSU rRNA". It matches the Rfam family "Eukaryotic large subunit ribosomal RNA", at positions 26 to 649 of the family's 3401-position model. The record is from RNAcentral. Lineage: Eukaryota; Fungi; Basidiomycota; Agaricomycetes; Agaricales; Inocybaceae.